RNAcentral lists this long non-coding RNA (690 nucleotides) under Homo sapiens (human). Its description in RNAcentral is "novel transcript, antisense to APOA4". The record is from RNAcentral. Lineage: Eukaryota; Metazoa; Chordata; Mammalia; Primates; Hominidae.
GUCAUGGUUACCUCCCCACCUCCCCAGCUGCAAGGAGGAUUCAUCCGGCAACCAGUUGAGGCUAGAUUCUCAGCAGCUUUAUUGAAUAUUGAGAGGUGGUCUCACCUCCCACUGGACAUGUGUCCUCAAGUUCAUACCAGAACUUCUUUGGGACAGACAGACAGACAGGUCCUUCUCCAGGAAGCUCAAGUGGCCUUCCACGUCCCCCGCAUGGGGGCCCAGUUUCUGCCUGAGCUGUUCCAUCUGCUGCACCAGGGCUUUGUUGAAGUUUUCCCCGUAGGGCUCCACCCGGCGUCGGAACUCCUCCACCUGCUGGUCCAGGUGCCCACCCAGCUCUGCCAGUGACUUCUGCAGCCCCUCGGUGUUGCCCCUCAGGUUGCCACGCACGUCCUCGGCCAAGGGCGCCAGCCUCUGCCGCAGCUCCUCGGCACUGGCCGAGAUCCUGGCCUUGAGCUCCUCGGCGUUCUUCUUCAUCUGGAAGGUCAGGCCCUCAAGCUGGUGGUUGAGCUUCUCCUGCGUGUCCUGAGCAUAGGGAGCCAGGCUGCGGCGCAGCUCCUCCACGGUCUGGUCAAUCUUGACUUUGAAUUCGUCAGCGUAGGGCGUAAGGCGUCCCUUGAGCUCCUCCACGUUCUGGUCGAUCUUGGCCUUGAGCUCGUCGGCGUGGGGCCUCAGCGAGGCCUGCAGGCUGUC